RNAcentral lists this ribosomal RNA (497 nucleotides) under uncultured bacterium. RNAcentral describes it as "partial 16S ribosomal RNA". It matches the Rfam family "Bacterial small subunit ribosomal RNA", at positions 28 to 507 of the family's 1533-position model. The record is from RNAcentral.
GAUGAACGCUGGCGGCGUGCCUAAUACAUGCAAGUCGAGCGAACGGACGAGAAGCUUGCUUCUCUGGUGUUAGCGGCGGACGGGUGAGUAACACGUGGAUAACCUACCUAUAAGACUGGGAUAACUUCGGGAAACCGUAGCUAAUACCGGAUAAUAUUUUGAACCGCAUGGUUCAAAAGUGAAAGACGGUCUUGCUGUCACUUAUAGAUGGAUCCGCGCUGCAUUAGCUAGUUGGUAAGGUAACGGCUUACCAAGGCAACGAUGCAUAGCCGACCUGAGAGGGUGAUCGGCCACACUGGAACUGAGACACGGUCCAGACUCCUACGGGAGGCAGCAGUAGGGAAUCUUCCGCAAUGGGCGAAAGCCUGACGGAGCAACGCCGCGUGAGUGAUGAAGGUCUUCAGAUCGUAAAACUCUGUUAUUAGGGAAGAACAUAUGUGUAAGUAACUGUGCACAUCUUGACGGUACCUAAUCAGAAAGCCACGGCUAACUACGUG